This is a long non-coding RNA of Gordionus sp. m RMFG-2023, 306 nucleotides long. RefSeq lists it as uncharacterized. NCBI's taxonomy places the organism in Eukaryota, Metazoa, Nematomorpha, Gordioida, Chordodea, Parachordodidae. The record is from RefSeq and is a predicted model, not a curated record. The transcript has 3 exons.
UUGAACUCCUUUAAAUAAUGGAAAUAGAAGCAACUGAUAAAUAUGAUUAAAAUUUAUUAUUUAUUAGAUAAUGAAGAGAGAAGAGCUACUGAUUUUGAACUCCUUUAAAUAAUGGAAAUAUUUUUCUAAUUCUUUAUAUCAGAUUAGUAUAAUGAAGAGCUACUGAUUUUGAAUGCCUUUAAUUGAUGGAAAUAGAAGCAACUAUAAAUAUGAUUACAACAUAAUGAAGAAAGAAGAGCUACUGAUUUUGAACUCCUUUAAAUAAUGGAAAUAUUUUUCUAAUUCUUUAUAUCAGAUUAGUGUAAU